CCUACGGGGCGCAGCAGUGGGGAAUAUUGCACAAUGGGCGAAAGCCUGAUGCAGCAACGCCGCGUGAAGGAAGACGGUUUUCGGAUUGUAAACUUCUGUUCUUAGUGAAGAAUAAUGACGGUAACUAAGGAGCAAGCCACGGCUAACUACGUGCCAGCAGCCGCGGUAAUACGUAGGGGGCGAGCGUUAUCCGGAUUUACUGGGUGUAAAGGGAGCGUAGACGGUUCUGCAAGUCUGAAGUGAAAGCCCGUGGCUUAACCGCGGAACGGCUUUGGAAACUGUGGAACUGGAGUGCUGGAGAGGCA
RNAcentral lists this ribosomal RNA (305 nucleotides) under uncultured bacterium. RNAcentral describes it as "bacterial SSU rRNA". It matches the Rfam family "Bacterial small subunit ribosomal RNA", at positions 338 to 659 of the family's 1533-position model. The record is from RNAcentral.